CUUCUGAUGUGCGGAUGUGUUCGGAGUUUCUUCCUUCUGGUGGGUUCGUGGUCUCGCUGGCUCGGGAGUGAAGCUGCAGACGUUUGCGGAACUCGUGAGUUAUGACAAAAAGAUAUUAUGACUCCCAUGCAGCGGAUGAAGAAAUUGAUGCCCAUGAAAGGAGAUUCACAAGCCUCCCUCCCAGAUUCAGGGAAGGAGAUGCAGCCCCCACCCCUUGACUGGAGGAGGACCAAGGUCACCUUGCAGAGCAAUGUGAGAUGUGGAAGAUGCCAGAACUGUCUGUGGGAAAUGGGAUUUGUACUUGGCUUGUCUGCCUCUUGCAACCAGAGUCCUGGUUCUCAGGGCCUCACCUGUGCAUCUCUUGUUGAGCACAGAGGAGGCACUCGGCAUAAAUGAAGAGGAUGCUUGCUGAGCUGGCUGGCCCAUCCUCUCUUCUUUCCCUUGUUUUUCUAUUUUAUCUUUCAAAGCAGUGUUUCAAGUGUUUAUAAACUAAUCUAUGUAUAAAAUAUUAUGUGGCAUAAGAUUUGCAAAAUAUUAAAGAUUUAAAGAAUCAAAUAAAAUAUUUGUAUGAUACCAC
This 577-nucleotide long non-coding RNA is filed under the name Pan troglodytes (chimpanzee). RNAcentral's name for it is "lincRNA". The record is from RNAcentral. Lineage: Eukaryota; Metazoa; Chordata; Mammalia; Primates; Hominidae.